GUAACACGUGGCCAAACUACCCUUCGGACCACAAUACCCUCGGGAAACUGAGGCUAAUAGUGGACACCACAGUCUACCUGGAAUGAAGACUGUGCCAAACGCUCCGGCGCCGAAGGAUGUGGCUGCGGCCGAUUAGGUAGACGGUGGGGUAACGGCCCACCGUGCCAAUAAUCGGUACGGGUCAUGAGAGUGAGAACCCGGAGACGGAAUCUGAGACAAGAUUCCGGGCCCUACGGGGCGCAGCAGGCGCGAAACCUUUACACUGCACGACAGUGCGAUAAGGGAAUCCCAAGUGCACAGGCAUAGAGCCUGUGCUUUUGUACACCCUAGGGCGGUGUACGAAUAAGGGCUGGGCAAGACCGGUGCCAGCCGCCGCGGUAAUACCGGCAGCCCAAGUGAUGGCCGAUCUUAUUGGGCCUAAAGCGUCCGUAGCUGGCCGCACAAGUCCAUCGGGAAAUCCACCUGCCCAACAGGUGGACGCCCGGUGGAAACUGUGUGGCUUGGGACCGGAAGGCGCGACGGGUACGUCCGGGGUAGGAGUGAAAUCCCGUAAUCCUGGACGGACCGCCGAUGGCGAAAGCACGUCGCGAAAACGGAUCCGACAGUGAGGGACGAAAGCCAGGGUCUCGAACCGGAUUAGAUACCCGGGUAGUCCUGGCCGUAAACAAUGUCUGUUAGGUGUGGCUCCCACUACGAGUGGGUGCUGUGCCGUAGGGAAGCCGCUAAACAGACCGCCUGGGAAGUACGUCCGCAAGGAUGAAACUUAAAGGAAUUGGCGGGGGAGCACUACAACCGGAGGAGCCUGCGGUUUAAUUGGACUCAACGCCGGACAUCUCACCAGCAUCGACUGUAAUAAUGACGACCAGGUUGAUGACCUUGUCCGAGUUUCAGAGAGGAGGUGCAUGGCCGCCGUCAGCUCGUACCGUGAGGCGUCCUGUUAAGUCAGGCAACGAGCGAGACCCGCAUCCCUACUUGCCAGCAGUACUUCACAGUAGCUGGGGACAGUACGGAGACCGCCGUGGCCAACACGGAGGAAGGAACGGGCAACGGUAGGUCAGUAUGCCCCGAAUGUGCUGGGCAACACGCGGGCUACAAUGGUCGAGACAAAGGGUUCCAACUCCGAAAGGAGACGGUAAUCUCAGAAACUCGAUCGUAGUUCGGAUUGUGGGCUGCAACUCGCCCACAUGAAGCUGGAUUCGGUAGUAAUCGCGUGUCAUAAGCGCGCGGUGAAUACGU
RNAcentral lists this ribosomal RNA (1236 nucleotides) under Halorubrum sp. RNAcentral's name for it is "bacterial SSU rRNA". It matches the Rfam family "Archaeal small subunit ribosomal RNA", at positions 93 to 1327 of the family's 1478-position model. The record is from RNAcentral. Lineage: Archaea; Methanobacteriati; Methanobacteriota; Halobacteria; Halobacteriales; Haloferacaceae.